AAUCGCAGCACUAGUUCUGUUCCAACCUCAGUGAAGCCUGUAAACAAACCAAGGAAUCCCGUGUAGGCAGAGUGAUGGCUUGCACCUUGUUUUUUAUCCUUCGAGCACGUCUUGAACUGAAGCUUCUGCACUAUUCGUGGUUAACAGGGAAACAUUAGGCGAAAGCGUUUCACAGACGACAUAAAGUGUAAAGUGGAAAUUGUGAGAAAGGGUGGAAAGAAAGUGAUGCCUGGCAAACUGCAGUCUGAACUUCAGAAAAGCAAGAACAAGAAUAUGAAGAAGAAACAGAAAGAAUCAAAAUCCAAAGGGUCAGGAGAUACAAACACACUGAAACCUGUCAGAUGCAACAGCAUGGACCUUCCGAGAACGACUUUCUCUCAUGAUCCAGUCAGAGCUGUAGAAUCUCGUUCUGAUGUACCAGAAGGUCCAGGAUGAGAAAACAGCCGGACCUUUAUCUACAGUAUCUGAUGGGGGAUCAGUCACCAGCUUGCCAAAUUUCUACAUAUUACAGUUGUUUCCUCCAUGCCUCCCACUUUAUUGCCUGCACUUUAUAUUUAUGGCCGAGCUUCUGUUUUUAUUUUCUGAAAACAAGUGUUGUCAGAAAAUGUUUUUUUCUUGUAAAUUUUACAUAAUGUGAAACUAACGCCAUUUGAAUCAUAUUUGUAAUGGAAGAAAAUACACUACAUGAAAAAUGA
Long non-coding RNA from Labeo rohita (rohu), 695 nucleotides. RefSeq lists it as uncharacterized. The transcript is spliced from 4 exons. NCBI's taxonomy places the organism in Eukaryota, Metazoa, Chordata, Actinopteri, Cypriniformes, Cyprinidae. The record is from RefSeq and is a predicted model, not a curated record.